GUGAUAGAUGAACUCCUGGAUGAAUUACAUGGUGCUCAAUGGUUUACAAAACUGGAUCUCAUAGCUGGAUAUCAUCAAAUUAGAUUAGCUCCUGGAGAAGAGUACAAGACAUCAUUUCAAACCCAUCAUGGGCAUUUUGAAUUCCUGGUUGGUUUUGGGUUGACAAGGGCACCAAACACCUUCCAAGGUGCCAUCAAUGUUUCCUUAUCACAAGAGCCUGAAAUGCCGAGGACCUUUGUACUAGCCUUCUUUGAUGAUAUUUUGAUUUUCAGUAAAACACUGAAACAACACUUAGAACAUGUCAGGAGGGUUUUGGAACUGCUUAGAAAGGACAAGUGGUAUGUGAAAUUUUCCAAAUGUGACACUACAAGA
Molecule: ribosomal RNA, 372 nt
Filed under: Triticum aestivum (bread wheat)
Lineage: Eukaryota; Viridiplantae; Streptophyta; Magnoliopsida; Poales; Poaceae
Description: partial small subunit ribosomal RNA
Source: RNAcentral